GAUGAACGCUGGCGGCGUGCUUAACACAUGCAAGUCGAACGGACAGGCCCUGCUUUUGCGGGGCUCUCGAGUGGCGAACGGGGGAGUAACACGUGUGUAAACUGUACUUGUCUUUGGGAUAACUCUACGAAACUGGGGCUAAUACAGGAUAGGAGAUACUGCUGCACGGUGGGCGAUGGAAAGUUUCGGCGGUUGGGGAUGGACUCGCGGGUUAUCAGCUUGUUGGUGGGGUAGUGGCUUACCAAGGCUUUGAAGGGUAGCCGGCCUGAGAGGGUGGCCGGCCACAUGGGAACUAAGAUACGGCGCAGUAGGGUAUCGGACGCAGCAGGCGGAAAUAUUGCGGAACGGCCCCGAGCCUGUUGCAGAAGCGCCGCGUUCGGGAAAACCUGUUUUGGGUGAUAAACAGCUUUCUCCGGGGCCGAAGAGUGAGUGACGGUAAUGGGUAAAGAAGCAACGGCUAACUACGUG
RNAcentral lists this ribosomal RNA (468 nucleotides) under uncultured bacterium. Its description in RNAcentral is "partial 16S ribosomal RNA". It matches the Rfam family "Bacterial small subunit ribosomal RNA", at positions 28 to 507 of the family's 1533-position model. The record is from RNAcentral.